Molecule: ribosomal RNA, 884 nt
Filed under: Salmonella enterica subsp. enterica serovar Derby
Lineage: Bacteria; Pseudomonadati; Pseudomonadota; Gammaproteobacteria; Enterobacterales; Enterobacteriaceae
Description: partial 23S ribosomal RNA
Rfam family: Bacterial large subunit ribosomal RNA
Source: RNAcentral
GGGUUGUGAGGUUAAGCGACUAAGCGUACACGGUGGAUGCCCUGGCAGUCAGAGGCGAUGAAGGGCGUGCUAAUCUGCGAUAAGCGCCGGUAAGGUGAUAUGAACCGUUAUAACCGGCGAUACCCGAAUGGGGAAACCCAGUGUGAUUCGUCACACUAUCAUUAACUGAAUCCAUAGGUUAAUGAGGCGAACCGGGGGAACUGAAACAUCUAAGUACCCCGAGGAAAAGAAAUCAACCGAGAUUCCCCCAGUAGCGGCGAGCGAACGGGGAGGAGCCCAGAGCCUGAAUCAGCAUGUGUGUUAGUGGAAGCGUCUGGAAAGGCGCGCGAUACAGGGUGACAGCCCCGUACACAAAAGCGCAUGUGCUGUGAGCUCGAUGAGUAGGGCGGGACACGUGGUAUCCUGUCUGAAUAUGGGGGGACCAUCCUCCAAGGCUAAAUACUCCUGACUGACCGAUAGUGAACCAGUACCGUGAGGGAAAGGCGAAAAGAACCCCGGCGAGGGGAGUGAAAAAGAACCUGAAACCGUGUACGUACAAGCAGUGGGAGCCCCACCACCAAAGCAUUCUCUGGUGUUGAAGGCCCUGCAAAGCAGCAUCGCGGUGGCGGAGCGUCGUUUGCGACGCCCAACACACAAAACAAGCGGUGAGUGCUUUGGGGUGGGGUGACUGCGUACCUUUUGUAUAAUGGGUCAGCGACUUAUAUUCUGUAGCAAGGUUAACCGUAUAGGGGAGCCGGAGGGAAACCGAGUCUUAACCGGGCGUUAAGUUGCAGGGUAUAGACCCGAAACCCGGUGAUCUAGCCAUGGGCAGGUUGAAGGUUGGGUAACACUAACUGGAGGACCGAACCGACUAAUGUUGAAAAAUUAGCGGAUGACCUGUGGCU